CCCUGGUGGGUGGGGGGGCGCCGGCAGAGCACCGGGAGGUCUGGGCUUACUGGCAGUCGGAGCCACACGGGCCGCCAGGUCCUGGAAACGCUCUCGUGUGGGUCCUUUCCGCUCGGCAGCACCCACGGCGGCAGCUGCGUGAGGACGCCCGGGGAGCCCCUGCCCUGCUCCUCCGCCCUCAUCACGGCCGGCUCCUCAACGGCGUCACUUUCCAGUUUUGACAUUUGGCCCCGUCUCCCCCGAGCUUUGCGAGGAGAGAAGCCUCCAAGUUCAGAAUCACGUCAGUCGCUGCGCCUGAAGUUGUUCCCGGGCCUGUGCCACCCUUGAGCGAUGUCGUCCCAGCCUCCCUGAUCUCCGACCCCGUGCUGGCGGCCCCUGGCGCACCCCCACGUCCAUGAGGAGCAGCUGGCCCCUGUGGCAGGAUGAGGUGGACCCCCCCAUGUGCCCCCAAAGGGCUGUCUCCGGGAAACGGGGGAGCAGGGGCCAGGAAGUGGUGGGCCAAGGGCAUGACGACCACCUCCAGGAUCUCCUCGCAGUGGCAGGACUCCAGCGGGAUGAUGUCCUCCUGCGACGGGCUCAUCUUGGUUAUGAGGACGUCG
This is a long non-coding RNA of Phyllostomus hastatus (greater spear-nosed bat), 599 nucleotides long. RefSeq lists it as uncharacterized. The record is from RefSeq and is a predicted model, not a curated record. NCBI's taxonomy places the organism in Eukaryota, Metazoa, Chordata, Mammalia, Chiroptera, Phyllostomidae. The transcript has 3 exons.